ACACACACACAUAUAUACACACACACACACACACACACACACACACACACACACACACACACACACACACACACACACACACACACAAGCACUGAUAAAACUCCUUCACAUCACUCCUCCACCACCGUCACACACUGAUAGGCAGCUCUUUGAAUUCCUGGACCCUGUCUCUACUCUACUACCCAUAGGCAUGUCAACCUGGUUGAAUUCCUGGACCCUGUCUCUACUCUACUACCCAUAGGCAUGUCAACCUGGUUGAAUUCCUGGACCCUGUCUCUACUCUACUACCCAUGGGCAUGUCAACCUGGUUGAAUUCCUGGACCCUGUCUCUACUCUACUACCCAUAGGCAUGUCAACCUGGUUGAAUUCCUGGACCCUGUCUCUACUCUACUACCCAUAGGCAUGUCAACCUGGUUGAAUUCCUGGACCCUGUCUCUACUCUACUACCCAUAGGCAUGUCAACCUGGUUGAAUUCCUGGACCCUGUCUCUACCUUACUACCCAUAGGCAUGUCAACCUGGCUGUGAGACUGAAAAAAAGAAUGUGUGAUUUCAAGAUACGAAGAAGUAGAGCAUGAGAUUUACUCUUUAGGUUUUUUUUAUUUUUAUUUAAUUUGACCUUUUUUUUUUUUAUGCGCAGCUCUAAAGUCACCUGGCUCUUUGAUUGGUCUGCCUGUUUGUCUACAGAGAUACUGAAGGGUGGAUCUGACGCACUGAGGGGUCAAUGUUAGAGACAAUGUUAGGCAAGAAUAUAUUUAUAUUCACUGCUUAAUUGCCAUAGAAACAAUGAUAUGGUAGUGUACAGAUGAGAGGUAGGUAGCCUAUGCCAGUGUCUCCCAACUCCGUACCCCCAACAGCGCACAUUGUUGUUUUAGCCCAGGACAAAACACCUGAUUCAACUUGUCAAGGGCUUGAUGAUUAGUUAACAAGUAGAAUCAGGUGUGCUUGUCCAGGGCCACAACAAAAAUAUUUAUUGUUGUGGGUACUGGAGGAUGGGACCUGAGAAACACUGGCCUAGGUUGAGGGCGCACUGAACGGAGAGGCACUUACUGAACCAAAUUUCACAUCUUGACAUAACAUUUUAGAAUAUGACAUUUAAAAAAUAUAUUUUUCAUAUGUUAAAGAUGAACAAUACAGAAUUUGUUUGAAUUUAUUGUAGUACUGGUAUGUGCCUUGACAUCUGUAUAAUAUUGAGUGAAUAUAUAUAAUUAUAAUUAAGAAUGUCAAUAAUAUUGUUUACUGUUUAUUUAAAAAAUAAAAGAAGGAAUGAAUGAAAGAAAGAAAUUUGGCAUUUUAACAAAAACACCUUGUGUAAAUACUGAAAGACUGUGUACAGUUUAGUACUAUAAUUUAUUACCUGUUUGUUGUUUAAUCAAUAACACCAUGUUGAAGGUUGUUGUUGUUUAAUUAAUAACACCAUGUUGAAGGUUGUUGUUUAAUCAAUAACACCAUGUUGAAGGUUGUUGUUUAAUCAAUAACACCAUGUUGAAGGUUGUUGUUGUUUAAUCAAUAACACCAUGUUGAAGGUUGUUGUUGUUUAAUCAAUAACACCAUGUUGAAGUUGUUGUUUAAUUAAUAACACCAUGUUGAAGGGUUGUUGUUUAAUUAAUAACACCAUGUUGAAGGUUGAUGUUGUUUAAUCAAUAACACCAUGUUGAAGGUUGUUGUUUAAUCAAUAACACCAUGUUGAAGGUUGUUGUUUAAUCAAUAACACCAUGUUGAAGGUUGAUGUUGUUUAAUCAAUAACACCAUGUUGAAGGUUGUUGUUUAAUCAAUAACACCAUGUUGAAGGUUGUUGUUUAAUCAAUAACACCAUGUUGAAGGUUGUUGUUGUUUAAUCAAUAACACCAUGUUGAAGGUUGAUGUUGUUUAAUCAAUAACACCAUGUUGAAGGUUGAUGUUGUUUAAUUAAUAACACCAUGUUGAAGGUUGUUGUUUAAUUAAUAACACCAUGUUGAAGGUUGUUGUUGUUUAAUCAAUAACACCAUGUUGAAGGUUGUUGUUUAAUCAAUAACACCAUGUUGAAGGUUGUUGUUGUUUAAUCAAUAACACCAUGUUGAAGGUUGUUGUUUAAUCAAUAACACCAUGUUGAAGGUUGUUGUUUAAUCAAUAACAUCAUGUUGAAGGUUGUUGUUUAAUCAAUAACACCAUGUUGAAGGUUGAUGUUGUUUAAUUAAUAACACCAUGUUGAAGGUUGUUGUUUAAUUAAUAACACCAUGUUGAAGGUUGUUGUUUAAUCAAUAACACCAUGUUGAAGGUUGUUGUUUAAUCAAUAACACCAUGUUGAAGGUUGUUGUUGUUUAAUCAAUAACACCAUGUUGAAGUUUGUUGUUUAAUCAAUAACACCAUGUUGAAGGUUGUUGUUUAAUCAAUAACACCAUGUUGAAGGUUGUUGUUGUUUCAUCAAUAACACCAUGUUGAAGGUUGAUGUUGUUUAAUCAAUAACACCAUGUUGAAGGUUGUUGUUUAAUCAAUAACACCAUGUUGAAGGUUGUUGUUGUUUAAUCAAUAACACCAUGUUGAAGGUUGUUGUUGUUUAAUCAAUAACACCAUGUUGAAGGUUGUUGUUUAAUCAAUAACACCAUGUUGAAGGUUGUUGUUGUUUAAUCAAUAACACCAUGUUGAAGGUUGUUGUUUAAUCAAUAACACCAUGUUGAAGGUUGUUGUUUAAUCAAUAACACCAUGUUGAAGGGUUGUUGUUUAAUCAAUAACACCAUGUUGAAGGUUGUUGUUGUUUAAUCAAUAACACCAUGUUGAAGGUUGUUGUUGUUUAAUCAAUAACACCAUGUUGAAGGUUGUUGUUUAAUUAAUAACACCAUGUUGAAGGUUGAUGUUUAGUCAAUAACACCAUGUUGAAGGUUGUUGUUGUAUUAUACUGUAUCAUACUUCUUUUUCACUGUAACCACCUGGCCAAGAUACAAGUGAGUUCCUAUUUGUUGCACUUUUGUCUAUAUCCAAUUAAAGAAAUUAUAUUUUUUAUACAUAAA
Molecule: non-coding RNA, 2985 nt
Organism: Salmo salar (Atlantic salmon)
Lineage: Eukaryota; Metazoa; Chordata; Actinopteri; Salmoniformes; Salmonidae
Source: RefSeq, a predicted model, not a curated record